Molecule: long non-coding RNA, 218 nt
Filed under: Elaeis guineensis (African oil palm)
Lineage: Eukaryota; Viridiplantae; Streptophyta; Magnoliopsida; Arecales; Arecaceae
Description: long non-coding RNA (EGUI_LNC006195)
Source: RNAcentral
AUGGGCUUCUGUCGUUGUCAGAGCAGGUGGACAUAGUGAGCAAUUUGUGGGAGCAUCCGAAGGAGAUGAAGGGUGCUGAACAGCCAGAAUCGAGUCGGAAGAAGGCGAUGCAGGGACGCACUGUCUGAAUUUCAUCGAAGCCAUUGUCGAUAGAGGUAAGUGAACAGUCAUGGUGGUUCCCAGAGAUUAUCGAGGUCUUGGCGGAGAGCCUCAAUGAG